GGAGGCACGGGGUUCGAUCCCCCGCAUCUCCACUGCAAUAAACAUUUUAUUUUCCUUUUCCUAGUGUCAAAGUUCCUUGAAACGGCGUCGUUCACUCUCUCUUCUUCUCCCCUUUAGUCUCUACGGCGCAUAUUAUUCUAAAGAAACUUGUUCAUCUAACCUCAGCCAACUGCCCUCGCCGGCGGGCCACCAUUUGCCUUCAAAACUAGUCAGAGUUUUCGUCUUAAAGCGCAUUAGAGAUCACUGUCCCAGGCCUCCCUCUUAUCUCGUUACAAAAGAGUUGGAUUUCAGGUUGCCAAGGAGCUAUCAAGAGGUGGAUAUGCAUAUAUGUCUAGAUCAAGAUAUACACAAAGGCAUUGCUGUCAAUACCAGUGGUCUACGCUUGAAUUACUGCCAGAAACUAGAGCCUUUCAAGGUUCCAUAUUUCAAAAGCAUCAUGGUUUUUCUACCUCAGCUUCCGAUGGUGCUUCUGCAGGAGCGGAUGAAGAGAAAGGAACGAUACCUGUCACAUUUGUUUCAAAGGAUGGAGAAGAAAUUCCCAUUCAAGUGCCUAUUGGAAUGUCUAUGCUGGAAGCAGCUCAUGAAAAUGAUAUAGAACUUGAAGGCAAGGAUCAUGAUCCAUAAUUGAACCCAUAAUUUUCCAGCUUUCCUUGGAGCUAACUCAUCUUGGAGUAAUUCGUUUACCGAAACCUUUCAUUGCUAAUAAUUAAUGUCUGUUUGUACUGACGUUUCAGGAGCAUGUGAGGGUUCACUUGCUUGUUCAACAUGCCAUGUCAUAGUGAUGGACAUGGAGUACUAUAAUAAAUUGGAAGAUCCAGCUGAUGAAGAGAAUGACAUGUUGGACCUGGCCUUUGGGCUUACCGAAACGUCUCGUCUGGGAUGUCAAAUAGUUGCAAGUCCUGAACUUGAUGGAAUUCGUUUAGCAAUCCCUGCUGCCACUCGAAACUUUGCUGUUGACGGGUAUGUUCCAAAACCACAUUAGACAUGAUCAAUAUCAAUACAACACCUCACUCAAUUUAAAUGAGCACAGAGGAUCCAGUUAUCCAGUUUUGUAGCUUCAGUAAUCCUAUUUGAAUCGGGGAGCAUAUAUUAUUCUCAAAUGAUUGCUUUUUGUAUUGAUUAUUGCUUAUUGAAUUCCCAAUAAUCCUUGUGUGACAUUGAUUCUAUAUAUCAAAUGAUGUCAAAGCUCCCAUGACCA
Molecule: RNA transcript, 1198 nt
Organism: Gossypium raimondii (Peruvian cotton)
Lineage: Eukaryota; Viridiplantae; Streptophyta; Magnoliopsida; Malvales; Malvaceae
Exons: 7
Source: RefSeq, a predicted model, not a curated record